CCCGCUGAACUUAAGCAUAUCAAUAAGCGGAGGAAAAGAAACCAACAGGGAUUGCCUCAGUAACGGCGAGUGAAGCGGCAACAGCUCAAAUUUGAAAUCUGGCUUCUCGGAGCCCGAGUUGUAAUUUGUAGAGGAUGUUUCGGGUACCGCUCCGGCUUAAUUUUCUUGGAACAGAAUGUCACAGAGGGUGAGAAUCCCGUCUGGAGCCGCGGUAGGGCCUAUGUGAAACUCCUUCGACGAGUCGAGUUGUUUGGGAAUGCAGCUCAAAAUGGGUGGUAAAUUUCAUCUAAAGCUAAAUAUUGGCCAGAGACCGAUAGCGCACAAGUAGAGUGAUCGAAAGAUGAAAAGCACUUUGAAAAGAGAGUUAAACAGUAUGUGAAAUUGUUGAAAGGGAAGCGCUGGCAACCAGACUUGCGUGUAGGGGUUCCCCCUCGCUUCUGCGUGGGUUACUCCCCUAUAUCCAGGCCAACAUCGGUUUUGGCGGUCGGUCAAAGGCCUUGGGAAUGUACCUUCCCCCGGGAAGACUUAUAGCCCAGGGUGUCAUGCGGCCUGCCGGGACCGAGGAACGCGCUUCGGCCCGGAUGUUGGCGUAAUGGUUGUCAGCGACCCGUCUUGAAACACGG
RNAcentral lists this ribosomal RNA (623 nucleotides) under uncultured fungus. Its description in RNAcentral is "eukaryotic LSU rRNA". It matches the Rfam family "Eukaryotic large subunit ribosomal RNA", at positions 24 to 664 of the family's 3401-position model. Lineage: Eukaryota; Fungi. The record is from RNAcentral.